This 477-nucleotide ribosomal RNA is filed under the name uncultured bacterium. RNAcentral describes it as "partial 16S ribosomal RNA". It matches the Rfam family "Bacterial small subunit ribosomal RNA", at positions 28 to 507 of the family's 1533-position model. The record is from RNAcentral.
GAUGAACGCUGGCGGCGUGCCUAACACAUGCAAGUCGAACGAAGCACCUUACCUGAUUCUUCGGAUGAAAGUUUGGUGACUGAGUGGCGGACGGGUGAGUAACGCGUGGGUAACCUGCCCUGUACAGGGGGAUAACAGCUGGAAACGGCUGCUAAUACCGCAUACGCGCACGAGGAGACAUCUCCUUGUGUGAAAAACUCCGGUGGUACAGGAUGGGCCCGCGUCUGAUUAGCUGGUUGGCAGGGUAACGGCCUACCAAGGCAACGAUCAGUAGCCGGUCGGAGAGGAUGAACGGCCACAUUGGAACUGAGACACGGUCCAAACUCCUACGGGAGGCAGCAGUGGGGAAUAUUGCACAAUGGGGGAAACCCUGAUGCAGCAACGCCGCGUGAGUGAAGAAGUAUUUCGGUAUGUAAAGCUCUAUCAGCAGGGAAGAUAAUGACGGUACCUGACUAAGAAGCUCCGGCUAAAUACGUG